Molecule: ribosomal RNA, 274 nt
Filed under: uncultured bacterium
Lineage: Bacteria
Description: partial 16S ribosomal RNA
Rfam family: Bacterial small subunit ribosomal RNA
Source: RNAcentral
AUACAGAGGGUGCGAGCGUUAAUCGGAAUUACUGGGCGUAAAGCGUGCGUAGGCGGUUUGUUAAGUCAGAAGUGAAAGCCCUGGGCUCAACCUGGGAACGGCUUUUGAGACUGGCAGACUCGAGUUGAGUAGAGGGGAGUGGAAUUUCCGGUGUAGCGGUGAAAUGCGUAGAGAUCGGAAGGAACACCAGUGGCGAAGGCGACUCCCUGGACUCAAACUGACGCUGAGGUACGAAAGCGUGGGUAGCAAACAGGAUUAGAAACCCUAGUAGUCC